Molecule: ribosomal RNA, 253 nt
Filed under: uncultured bacterium
Lineage: Bacteria
Description: partial 16S ribosomal RNA
Rfam family: Bacterial small subunit ribosomal RNA
Source: RNAcentral
UACGGAGGGUGCAAGCGUUAUCCGGAUUCACUGGGUUUAAAGGGUGUGUAGGCGGGCUAUUAAGUCAGUGGUGAAAUCUCCGGGCUCAACUCGGAAACUGCCAUUGAUACUAUUAGUCUUGAAUAUCGUUGAGGUUGGCGGAAUAUAUCAUGUAGCGGUGAAAUGCAUAGAUAUGAUAUAGAACACCGAUUGCGAAGGCAGCUAACUAAGCGAUGAUUGACGCUGAGGCACGAAAGCGUGGGGAUCAAACAGG